AUUUUAUAGCACCUCCUGAGCUCAGCGAAGCUGGCGCUAAACCUCGGUUGCUCUGAUCAUGACAAAUAGGAGCUGGAGAGCCAAAUUCAGUGCAGAGUCACUGCCUGCCUGUGGAGCUGCUGCUUUUCCUGCUUUUGGUUAUUGAUUUGGUGUGUGGCUGGUGGCUCUGCCACCCACACUGGCCAGGAUGGUGCUCUGUGAAACCAGAGGAGCCUUGGGAUGCUGGUGGGACUUGUCCUGCCCGUGUCUUCACUCACCUCUGUGGAAGGAGCCAGCCUGGGGGAUGGAAGAUACAGUGAGAAGCUCAGCUGGCUUUGUGGCCGAGUGCAAGGCAGGGGACA
Long non-coding RNA from Ficedula albicollis (Collared flycatcher), 341 nucleotides. RefSeq lists it as uncharacterized. NCBI's taxonomy places the organism in Eukaryota, Metazoa, Chordata, Aves, Passeriformes, Muscicapidae. The record is from RefSeq and is a predicted model, not a curated record. The transcript is spliced from 3 exons.